Molecule: ribosomal RNA, 404 nt
Filed under: uncultured bacterium
Lineage: Bacteria
Description: bacterial SSU rRNA
Rfam family: Bacterial small subunit ribosomal RNA
Source: RNAcentral
UGGGGAAUAUUGGACAAUGGGGGCAACCCUGAUCCAGCAAUGCCGCGUGCGUGAAGAAGGCCUUCGGGUUGUAAAGCGCUUUCGCCCGCGACGAUGAUGACGGUAGCGGGAGAAGAAGCCCCGGCUAACUCCGUGCCAGCAGCCGCGGUAAUACGGAGGGGGCUAGCGUUGUUCGGAAUUACUGGGCGUAAAGGGCGCGUAGGCGGCCCUGCAAGUCAGACGUGAAAGCCCCGGGCUCAACCUGGGAAUUGCGUUUGAGACUGCGGGGCUGGAGUCCGGGAGAGGUGAGCGGAAUUCCCAGUGUAGAGGUGAAAUUCGUAGAUAUUGGGAAGAACACCGGUGGCGAAGGCGGCUCACUGGACCGGCACUGACGCUGAGGCGCGAAAGCGUGGGGAGCAAACAGG